AUUGAACGCUGGCGGCAGGCCUAACACAUGCAAGUCGAACGAGUGGCGGACGGGUGAGUAAUGUCUGGGAAACUGCCUGAUGGCGGGGGAUAACUACUGGAAACGGUAGCUAAUACCGCAUACCAUCAGAUGUGCCCAACUUGGAUUAGCUUGUUGGUGGGGUAACGGCGCACCAAGGCGACGAUCCCUAGCUGGUCUGAGAGGAUGACCGCACACGCUGGAACGGAGACACGGCCCAGACUCUUACGGGAGGGAGCAGUGGGGAAUAUUGGACAAUGGGCGCAAGCCUGAUGCAGCCAGACCGCGUGUAUGAAGAAGGCCUUCGGGUUGUAAAGUUCUGUCAGCGGGGAGGCGUUACCCGCAGAAUAAGCACCGGCUAACUACGUGCCAGCCGCCGCGGUAAUAC
RNAcentral lists this ribosomal RNA (406 nucleotides) under uncultured bacterium. Its description in RNAcentral is "partial 16S ribosomal RNA". It matches the Rfam family "Bacterial small subunit ribosomal RNA", at positions 30 to 526 of the family's 1533-position model. The record is from RNAcentral.